Molecule: small nucleolar RNA, 107 nt
Organism: Humulus lupulus (European hop)
Lineage: Eukaryota; Viridiplantae; Streptophyta; Magnoliopsida; Rosales; Cannabaceae
Source: RefSeq, a predicted model, not a curated record
AUGCCGUGAUGAUGACACUCUCUCUACAAUUCUUUAAACCUCUCCCAUGCGUCAUAUAAUUAUUCCCCAUAAGUCUGGAAAAAGUUAUUGAUCUCUCCUCUCAACCU